This 1503-nucleotide long non-coding RNA is filed under the name Canis lupus dingo (dingo). RNAcentral describes it as "lncRNA (ENSCAFG00020019826.1)". Lineage: Eukaryota; Metazoa; Chordata; Mammalia; Carnivora; Canidae. The record is from RNAcentral.
AUGGUUUUUCAAAAUCCCAUCAUUUGCUACGUUCCUCUCCUCUGCCCAAAGAAGCAUGAUUUAAAAAAAAAAAAAAAAAAAAAAAAAGGUUUGGAUUUCCUUUUCCAAGGGACUGAAAGCCAGCCCUUUUCUCUGGUAUCUAAACUCCUCCCUCCAAGUCACCUUGUGAACACAGUAUGCCUCAGUCUCCCCAUCUCACCUGAGAUGCAGGUAAGUCUACACCAUCUUACCGGAGACACGAAACUGCGGCUGAAACUGCAGCUGCGGGCAGGUCCCACCCCCCCCUCUCCCCCCCCCCCGCCGGGACCGAGCAUCACCGGAGCCCCGGGGGCCCGAGCAUUACCGGAGCGGGGGGGGGGGGGGGGGGGGUACCGAGCAUCACCGGAGCCCCGGGGGCCCGAGCAUCACCGGAGCGGGGGGGGGGGUACCGAGCAUCACCGGAGCCCCGGGGGGCCCGAGCAUCACCGGAGCGGGGGGGGGGGGGUACCGAGCAUCACCGGAGCCGGGGCGCACGCGCGGGGAGGGGCCCCCAGAGGCCGGGGGCGGCGCGGGCGGGGUUCCCGGGGCGGCCGGGCCGGGCGCGCGUGGAGCGGUGGUUGCCCCGCGGCCGAGGUGCGCGCGGGAGAGGAGCCGUCGGGCGGCCCCCAAGUCCCGGGCCGGGGAGCGGGGGAGCACCGAGGAGUUUCGGGGCCGGGGGCCACGAGUGCCUUUGCACCCCGUGUCCCUGGCCAUACGCGGGCGCCCCGGGGCGGAAGGGCGCGUGGAGGAUGCGCAGGCGGGGGCCCGGGGCGCACGCGGCAGCCCACCCGCGAGCCGGGAGCCGGGAGCCGGGAGCCGGGAGCCCGGAGCCCGGGGCGGCCCCUGCGCGGGGCCGGGGCGGCGCGGGGCGGGGCGCUCGCUCACCUUCAGCACCAGCACCUCGAGCAUCUUCCCGCGCCCCUGCCGGGCCUCCGGGCCUCCGGGCCGCCGCUCCCUCGCAAGGCCGGGUGCCGGCCGAUCCCGCCGUCGGGGCCCCGCAGGCCCGCCCGUCCGCGCCCUGGGGCUCGGCCACCGCGCACGCCUCGAGCCUUCCAGAAGGCCCGCCCGCCAACGGCCCGGGCAACCGCCGGCCUCCCUGCGCAGGGGGCGGCGGGCGGGGCGGGGCGGGGCGGGGCCCGGGUCACGUGGCCGCCCCGACCCCCGCGGGCUCCCCCCGCCCCCCUCUCCGACCCACCUGGAGGCCUCAGGGGUCAGGAAGCCGCGCGCAGGCCGCCAAUGCAGAGCUGGGGACACCCCCCUCCCCGCACCCCCACCCCCUCCACCUCCUCCUCCUGCUUCGGUCCCAGAUUUCCUCCCACCUGGCCCUUAGGUGGCAGGGCUCCCCCAGACUGUCGCUGGCCACUCCGGUCACCAAACCGCAGCCCCCCUGGACGGGGGCUCCAACCCGCGCGUGUUGAUGUUGUUGGGGCGCCCAGGAGUUCUCUAAAUUUGGAACACCUGGACGCCUCAGUUUUUCUCACCUAA